RNAcentral lists this ribosomal RNA (448 nucleotides) under uncultured bacterium. RNAcentral's name for it is "bacterial SSU rRNA". It matches the Rfam family "Bacterial small subunit ribosomal RNA", at positions 330 to 794 of the family's 1533-position model. The record is from RNAcentral.
UCCAGGCUCCUACGGGAGGCAGCAGUGGGGAAUAUUGCACAAUGGGGGAAACCCUGAUGCAGCAACGCCGCGUGAGUGAGGAAGUAUUUCGGUAUGUAAAGCUCUAUCAGCAGGGAAUAGAAAAGAAGGUACCUGAAAAAGAAGCCCCGGCUAACUACGUGCCAGCAGCCGCGGUAAUACGUAGGGGGCAAGCGUUAUCCGGAUUUACUGGGUGUAAAGGGAGCGUAGACGGCAGCGCAAGUCUGGAGUGAAAUGCCGGGGCUCAACCCCGGAACUGCUUUGGAAACUGUGCAGCUAGAGUGCGGGAGAGGUAAGCGGAAUUCCUAGUGUAGCGGUGAAAUGCGUAGAUAUUAGGAGGAACACCAGUGGCGAAGGCGGCUUGCUGGACCGUAACUGACGUUGAGGCUCGAAAGCGUGGGGAGCAAACAGGAUUAGAUACCCCAGUAGA